Molecule: unclassified non-coding RNA, 329 nt
Filed under: soil metagenome
Description: partial contains 5.8S ribosomal RNA, internal transcribed spacer 2, and large subunit ribosomal RNA
Rfam family: 5.8S ribosomal RNA (bases 1-120)
Source: RNAcentral
GAUGAAGAACGUAGCGAAAUGCGAUAAGUAAUGUGAAUUGCAGAAUUCAGUGAAUCAUCGAAUCUUUGAACGCACAUUGCGCCCCCUGGUAUUCCGGGGGGCAUGCCUGUCCGAGCGUCAUUACAACCCUCAAGCUCAGCUUGGUGUUGGGCCCCGCCGCCCCGGCGGGCCCUAAAGUCAGUGGCGGUGCCGUCCGGCUCCGAGCGUAGUAAUUCUUCUCGCUCUGGAGGCCCGGCCGCGUGCCCGCCAGCAACCCCCAAUUGUUUUCAGGUUGACCUCGGAUCAGGUAGGGAUACCCGCUGAACUUAAGCAUAUCAAUAAGCGGAGGA